AGUGAACGCUGGCGGUAGGCCUAACACAUGCAAGUCGAACGGCAGCACAGUAAGAGCUUGCUCUUACGGGUGGCGAGUGGCGGACGAGUGAGGAAUACAUCGGAAUCUACUUUUUCGUGGGGGAUAACGUAGGGAAACUUACGCUAAUACCGCAUACGACCUACGGGUGAAAGCAGGGGAGCUUCGGACCUUGCGCGAUUGACUGAGCCGAUGUCGGAUUAGCUAGUUGGCGGGGUAAAGGCCCACCAAGGCGACGAUCCGUAGCUGGUCUGAGAGGAUGAUCAGCCACACUGGAACUGAGACACGGUCCAGACUCCUACGGGAGGCAGCAGUGGGGAAUAUUGGACAAUGGGCGCAAGCCUGAUCCAGCCAUACCGCGUGGGUGAAGAAGGCCUUCGGGUUGUAAAGCCCUUUUGUUGGGAAAGAAAAGCAGCAGGUUAAUACCCCGCUGUUCUGACGGUACCCAAAGAAUAAGCACCGGCUAACUUCGUG
RNAcentral lists this ribosomal RNA (492 nucleotides) under uncultured bacterium. RNAcentral describes it as "partial 16S ribosomal RNA". It matches the Rfam family "Bacterial small subunit ribosomal RNA", at positions 29 to 507 of the family's 1533-position model. The record is from RNAcentral.